This 996-nucleotide long non-coding RNA is filed under the name Oryctolagus cuniculus (rabbit). Its description in RNAcentral is "lncRNA (ENSOCUG00000029850.1)". Lineage: Eukaryota; Metazoa; Chordata; Mammalia; Lagomorpha; Leporidae. The record is from RNAcentral.
AUGGCACCAACUUCUUUGAGAAGGAGUUUUUCUUCUUUCUGCCUGAUUGUCCCCCAUCCAUUCUUGUCUUUCAGGUCUCAACCCCAACACCAUCACCACCGUCUCAGUGGAUCUCUCCUGUACAGUGAGCUGUCACCUGAAACUAACAAGGAGGAUGUGUCUCCCAGCAAUCUGAGCUACAGUCAAAAGUGCAUGACCUACCAGCUUUGACAUGCCAACUUGGACCACAAUUUCUGGAAUAGUUGGAAAAAGUAUUGUAAUGUAGUCAUGUCCCUAUACUAUUUCGUUAAAAACUUCUAAAAUUCCACAGGGUACAUCUUUAAAGUGCUUUAACAUCCUCAGCAUGUAACACAUUGUAGUUUUUUAUUACUAUAGGAAAUGGACUCCUUGUUCUUUCAACCCUUUGUCUCUCUCAUUGGAUUUUUAAAAAUAUAUGAGGUACUCACUCUUCUUUCUUAUAACUACUCUUUCUUUCUUCUGAUUAGUAUAAUUAGGAAAAGUAUAUUUAUGAAAAAAUCAACUAAUUUAUAAAUAUACAUUUACUUUGUAGAUAACUAAAUUUGGAAAUAGAAAACUCCUCUCCCUGUGAUGUCUGUCCUGUUUGAACACAGAUGCAGCAUGAGAAGGAAAACUUCAGUCUUUGGGACUCACCAAGCUCUGUGCUGCCUUUGCCUCUGAUUUUGAUGAUGCUCUCUUCUCUCACGUUCCCUUUUGUCUGAUUAGCUUUUAUGUAUCCCUCAGGACAUAGACUCUGUGCCAUCUCACUAGGAAGGAGAACAGGAACACUUGGCUGAAUCAACCAGGUUAGUUGGAGACACCCUUAUUAAUUCUUCAGCCAAAUUAACCAUACACCAGUAUUAUUUUUGUUGACUAAUAUUCUUUUUUAUUAAUGUCAUUUGUUUAGUCAUGUUCAUUAAACUCAUAGAAUAUCAUAAAAAGGAUAGUCCUAGGUAGUAAGAAAUGAUAACAAAUAAAUAGAUAAAGUUAUUGCUUUCA